GACGAACGCUGGCGGCGUGCCUAAUACAUGCAAGUCGAGCGAAGUUUUUCUGGUGCUUGCACUAGAAAAACUUAGCGGCGAACGGGUGAGUAACACGUAAAGAACCUGCCUCAUAGACUGGGACAACUAUUGGAAACGAUAGCUAAUACCGGAUAACAGUAUUUCUCGCAUGGGAGAUAUUUAAAAGUUGGUUAUGCUAACACUAUGAGAUGGCUUUGCGGUGCAUUAGCUAGUUGGUGGGGUAAAGGCCCACCAAGGCGACGAUGCAUAGCCGACCUGAGAGGGUGAUCGGCCACACUGGGACUGAGACACGGCCCAGACUCCUACGGGAGGCAGCAGUAGGGAAUCUUCCGCAAUGGGCGAAAGCCUGACGGAGCAACGCCGCGCGAGUGAAGAAGGAUUUCGGUUCGUAAAGCUCUGUUGUUAGGGAAGAAUGGAUAUGUAGUAACUAUACAUGUAAGAGACGGUACCUAACCAGAAAGCCACGGCUAACUACGUG
RNAcentral lists this ribosomal RNA (499 nucleotides) under uncultured bacterium. RNAcentral's name for it is "partial 16S ribosomal RNA". It matches the Rfam family "Bacterial small subunit ribosomal RNA", at positions 28 to 507 of the family's 1533-position model. The record is from RNAcentral.